Molecule: ribosomal RNA, 497 nt
Filed under: uncultured bacterium
Lineage: Bacteria
Description: partial 16S ribosomal RNA
Rfam family: Bacterial small subunit ribosomal RNA
Source: RNAcentral
GAUGAACGCUGGCGGCGUGCCUAAUACAUGCAAGUCGAGCGAACGGACGAGAAGCGUGCUUCUCUGAUGUUAGCGGCGGACGGGUGAGUAACACGUGUAUAACCGACCGAUAAGACUGGGAUAACUUCGGGAAACCGUAUCUAAUACCGGAUAAUAUGUUGAACCGCAUGGUUCAAAAGUGAAAGACGUUCUUGCUGUCACUUAUAGAUGGAUCCGCGCUGCAUUAGCUAGUUGGUAAGGUAACGGCUUACCAAGGCAACGAUGCAUAGCCGACCUGAGAGGGUGAUCGGCCACACUGGAACUGAGACACGGUCCAGACUCCUACGGGAGGCAGCAGUAGGGAAUCUUCCGCAAUGGGCGAAAGCCUGACGGAGCAACGCCGCGUGAGUGAUGAAGGUCUUCGGAUCGUAAAACUCUGUUAUUAGGGAAGAACAUAUGUGUAAGUAACUGUGCACAUCUUGACGGUACCUAAUCAGAAAGCCACGGCUAACUACGUG